RNAcentral lists this ribosomal RNA (2340 nucleotides) under Paramunnopsis sp. 3 D17. Its description in RNAcentral is "bacterial SSU rRNA". It matches the Rfam family "Eukaryotic small subunit ribosomal RNA". The record is from RNAcentral. Lineage: Eukaryota; Metazoa; Arthropoda; Malacostraca; Isopoda; Munnopsidae.
AACCUGGUUGAUCCUGCCAGUAGUGAUAUGCUUGUCUCAAAGAUUAAGCCAUGCAUGUCUGAGUACAGACCGAUCUAAGGUGAAACCGCGAAUGGCUCAUUAAAUCAGUCAUAAUUCCUUGGAUAGUGAAAAACUUCCUCGGAUAACUGUGGAAAAUCCAGAGCUAAUACGUGCAACUGAGCUCCGACCUCGGCGCGAGCCUUGGGAAGAGCGCAUUUAUUAGAUUCAAAACUGACCGGCGUACUCCUUCGGGAUGCGCCGUUUGUCGAAAGUUUGAUGACUCCGGAUAACUUAGCCGAGCGCUACGGUCCUAGUACCGGCGCCGUAUCUUUCAAGUGUCUGCCUUAUCAGCUUUCGAUUGUAGGUUAAACGCCUACAAUGGCUGUAACGGGUAACGGGGAAUCAGGGUUCGAUUCCGGAGAGGGAGCCUGAGAAACGGCUACCACAUCUAAGGAAGGCAGCAGGCACGCAAAUUACCCACUCCCAGCCCGGGGAGGUAGUGACGAAAAAUAACGAUGCGAGACUCUUCCGAGGCCUCGCAAUCGGAAUGAGUCCAUUUUAAAUCCUUGGACGAGGAUCCAUUGGAGGGCAAGUCUGGUGCCAGCAGCCGCGGUAAUUCCAGCUCCAAUAGCGUAUAUUAAAGUUGCUGCGGUUAAAAAGCUCGUAGUUGGACUUCCUAGAUCCAUUUCGCGAGCGAGUCGCUCGUUGAGCUAGCGUUUCGAGUCAGUCACUCGAUGACGUCGAGGUUAUAGAGGCGUUUCGGGUCGCUAUCUCGCAGCCGUAGUUCUUCUCGGACCUAGCGUUAGCUUUCGUUUUCGUCGUCGAUCCUUCGCGGGUGAGACGUUCGUUUGCGUUAGCAUCGUUAGCGAGAGUCGCAAUUGCGCGCUCGCUUGGUACGUGGGCUCGUUCGCUCUUGCUUCGCACAGAAUCUUGCGGACGGCGAGACGUUGUCUUCGAGUAUCGCUCGUUCGCGUUUGGUACAAUUAAAAUUUUGUCGGCUCGCUCGGAGUGCUCUUUACCGAGUGUUCCAGGGUGGCCGACACGUUCACUUUGAAAAAAUUAGAGUGCUUAAAGCGGGGCUUAUACGUGGCCUGAAUGUCUGUGCAUGGAAUGAAGUAACAGGACCUCGAUUCUGUUUUUUUUGUCGGUUUUAUUGAACCGAGGUAAUGAUUAAAAGGGACAGACGGUGGCAUUAGUAUUGCGGCGCUAGAGGUGAAAUUCUUGGACCGCUGCAAGACUAACUACUGCGAAAGCGUUUGCCGAGAAUGUUUUCAUUAAUCAAGAACGAAAGUUAGAGGAUCGAAGGCGAUCAGAUACCGCCCUAGUUCUAACCCUAAACUAUGCUAACUAGCGAUCCGCCGGAGUCAUUCCCACGACCCGGCGGGAAGCCCCAGGGAAACCAAAGUCUUUGAGUUCCGGGGGAAGUAUGGUUGCAAAGCUGAAACUUAAAGGAAUUGACGGAAGGGCACCACCAGGAGUGGAGCCUGCGGCUUAAUUGACUCAACACGGGAAACCUCACCAGGCCCGGACAUCAUAAGGAUUGACAGGUUGAGGGCUCUUUCUCGAUUUGAUGGGUGGUGGUGCAUGGCCGUUCUUAGUUGGUGGAGUGAUCUGUCUGGUUGAUUCCGAUAACGAACGAGACUCUACCCUACUAACUAGUCGGCGGAUCGUAACCCUGAGAUGGUUAGUUUGUAUAGGACGGUUUUACGGAGACGCGGUCGCGGGAUAGCGGCGUUACGGAUCGCUGCGCGUCCAGCGUGUGUGUGUCGUCGUUGGGGGUGCGAGAGUUUCGGCUUUCCGCGCUCUUCGAGGCGAUUUCGCGCGCGUUGGCGCGUAGUUUCUCUCCGCAGCGUUAAACUACUCGCGGUCUCGCGUCGAAGUUUCCGUCUGAUUACUGCUACUGCUGGGGGCGUCCGUCGCAAUGUAUCUUCUUAGAGGGAUCAGCGGCGUAUAGCCGCACGAGAAAGAGCAAUAACAGGUCUGUGAUGCCCUUAGAUGUUCUGGGCCGCACGCGCGCUACAAUGUAGAGACCAGCGUGCUUUCCCCCUCCGAAAGGAGCGGGUAACCCGUUGAAACCCCUACCCGAUUGGGAUUGGGGAUUGCAAAUAUUUCCCAUAAACGAGGAAUUCCCAGUAAGCGCGAAUCAUUAAUUCGCGCUGAUUACGUCCCUGCCCUUUGUACACACCGCCCGUCGCUACUACCGAUUGAAUGAUUCAGUGAGGGCAUCGGACUGGCGCCUUCGGUUUAGUAACAUAGACCUUAGGCUGACGGAAAGAUGUCCGAACUUGAUCAUUUAGAGGAAGUAAAAGUCGUAACAAGGUUUCCGUAGGUGAACCUGCG